Molecule: ribosomal RNA, 390 nt
Filed under: uncultured bacterium
Lineage: Bacteria
Description: bacterial SSU rRNA
Rfam family: Bacterial small subunit ribosomal RNA
Source: RNAcentral
GACGAACGCUGGCGGCGUGCCUAACACAUGCAAGUCGAACGGAGAUACGAUUUCGGUUGUAUCUUAGUGGCGAACGGGUGAGUAACGCGUGAGCAACCUGACCUUUAGAGGGGGAUAACACUUGGAAACAGGUGCUAAUACCGCAUAAGACCACGACCUGACAUCAGGAUGAGGUCAAAGGAGCAAUCCGCUAAAGGAGGGCUCGCGUCCAUUAGAUAGAUGGCGGGGUAACGGCCCACCAUGUCGACGAUGGGUAGCCGAGCUGAGAGGCUGAUCGGCCACACUGGAACUGAGACACGGUCCAGACUCCUACGGGAGGCAGCAGUGGGGAAUAUUGGGCAAUGGGCGCAAGCCUGACCCAGCAACGCCGCGUGAGGGAAGAAGGCCUUC